This 162-nucleotide ribosomal RNA is filed under the name Pinus remota. Its description in RNAcentral is "5.8S ribosomal RNA". It matches the Rfam family "5.8S ribosomal RNA". Rfam says of the family: 5.8S ribosomal RNA (5.8S rRNA) is a component of the large subunit of the eukaryotic ribosome. The record is from RNAcentral. Lineage: Eukaryota; Viridiplantae; Streptophyta; Pinopsida; Pinales; Pinaceae.
GAAACGACUCUUGGCAAUGGAUAUCUCAGCUCUUGUUACAAAGAAGAACGUAGCGAAAUGCGAUACUUAGUGUGAAUUGGAGAAUCCCGUGAAUCAUCGAUUUUUUGAACACAAUUUGCGCUCGAGGCUUUGGUCGAGGGCACAUCUGUCUAGGCGUCGCAU